RNAcentral lists this long non-coding RNA (207 nucleotides) under Capsicum annuum. Its description in RNAcentral is "long non-coding RNA (CANN_LNC001946)". The record is from RNAcentral. Lineage: Eukaryota; Viridiplantae; Streptophyta; Magnoliopsida; Solanales; Solanaceae.
AGAUGUACGCAGUCCAUAUCUCUACCUCUAAAGAAGUAGAAAGGUUGUUUCCGAUAGACCCUCAGCUCGAGACACGGAAUACUACACAAAUACAUAGUAAAGCAUGGAACAAGAUGGCAUAACAUAAAUACGACACCCACAAGUAAUAGAAAAUAGAGAAAAGUAAACAGAUUCGUAAUAAAGCAUGAAACAAGGUAUCAUAACAAG